UAAAAUGUGGUGAGAAUUUGUUCAUGGCAAAUUACCCUGCAUCGUGGUCUUCUGUAAUCCAAGAUUGGUAUGAUGAAUCCCUUGAUUUUGUCUUUGGUUUCGGCCCAAAAAAAGUUGGUGUUAAAGUCGGACACUAUACUCAGGUUGUUUGGAAUUCAACUUUCCUGGUUGCAUGUGGAGUUGCUGAAUGCCCUGACCAACCAUUGAAAUACUUUUAUGUUUGUCACUAUUGUCCUGGCCAAUAGUUGUGAAUAUGAAGAUAAUUAUUCUAACUGUGGCGAUCUGAAGAAGAUGGUGAGCUGCGACGAUCCACUUCUUAAAGAAGGUUGCAGAGCUUCAUGCUUCUGUGAAGACAAAAUUCAUUAAAUUUCCAGUCCACAUAAUCAGGUCCAUGUAGAAAAGGAAAAUACCCUCUACUUAGUCUUACCAUGUCUGGUUGCUUCAGAAAAAAAAUAAAUCUUAAUCUCAGC
Molecule: long non-coding RNA, 470 nt
Filed under: Rattus norvegicus (Norway rat)
Lineage: Eukaryota; Metazoa; Chordata; Mammalia; Rodentia; Muridae
Description: long non-coding RNA NONRATT029265
Source: RNAcentral